CCUACGGGGGGCUGCAGUGGGGAAUAUUGCACAAUCGGGGAAACCCUGAUGCAGCGACGCCGCGUGAGUGAAGAAGUAUUUCGGUAUGUAAAGCUCUAUCAGCAGGAACGAGACAAGACGGUACCUGACUAAGAAGCCCCGGCUAACUACGUGCCAGCAGCCGCGGUAAUAAGUAGGGGGCAAGCGUUAUCCGGAAUCACUGGGUGUAAAGGGAGCGUAGGCGGCUGAGCAAGCCUGAAGUGAAAGGCGGGGGCCCAACCCCCGGACUGCAUUGGGAACUGUACGGCUGGAGUGCAGGAGAGGUAAGUGGAAUUCGUAGUGUAGCGGUGAAAUGCGUAGAUAUUAGGAGGAACACCAGUGGCGAAGGCGGCUUACUGGACUGUAACUGACGUUGAGGCUCGAAAGCGUGGGGAGCGAACAGGAUUAGAUACCCUUGUAGUC
This 441-nucleotide ribosomal RNA is filed under the name uncultured bacterium. RNAcentral's name for it is "partial 16S ribosomal RNA". It matches the Rfam family "Bacterial small subunit ribosomal RNA", at positions 338 to 795 of the family's 1533-position model. The record is from RNAcentral.